This 211-nucleotide ribosomal RNA is filed under the name Paenibacillus polymyxa. RNAcentral's name for it is "partial 23S ribosomal RNA". It matches the Rfam family "Bacterial large subunit ribosomal RNA", at positions 2708 to 2925 of the family's 2925-position model. The record is from RNAcentral. Lineage: Bacteria; Bacillati; Bacillota; Bacilli; Caryophanales; Paenibacillaceae.
GCUGGUGUACCAGUUGUUCCGCCAGGAGCACCGCUGGGUAGCUAUGUACGGAAGGGAUAAGCGCUGAAAGCAUCUAAGCGUGAAGCCCCCCUCAAGAUGAGAUUUCCCAGUAUGUAAGACCCCUUGAAGACGACGAGGUAGAUAGGUUGGGGGUGGAAGUGCAGUAAUGCAUGGAGCUGACCAAUACUAAUCGGUCGAGGGCUUAUCCUAA